This 253-nucleotide ribosomal RNA is filed under the name uncultured bacterium. RNAcentral describes it as "partial 16S ribosomal RNA". It matches the Rfam family "Bacterial small subunit ribosomal RNA", at positions 524 to 776 of the family's 1533-position model. The record is from RNAcentral.
UACGUAGGGGGCAAGCGUUGUCCGGAUUUAUUGGGCGUAAAGAGCGUGUAGGCGGCUUGGUAGGUCCGCUGUGAAAACUCGAGGCUCAACCUCGAGAUGUCGGCGGAAACCACUUGGCUAGAGUCCGGAAGAGGAGAGUGGAAUUCCUGGUGUAGCGGUGAAAUGCGUAGAUAUCAGGAGGAACACCUGUGGUGUAGACAGCUUACUGGACCAUUUCUGACGCUGAGACACGAAAGCGUGGGUAGCAAACAGG